AUGAUUUAUGAAAAUAACUUCUAAAGUUUAAUUAUGAUUUAGUUAAAUAAUUUUAACUAAACUGAUUUUAAACAAUUUAUUUUGUUAGUUUAUAGAUUCUUGAUCUCAGAAUUAGCAUUAUGAGACACUCAAGUAAAACCUCCAUUUCUAAAAAAAUGUUUACCUCCAUAUAAAAGAGCAAUAUAAAAUUUUAGAGUAACAAAUGAAGAUGUACUGACCCAAGUUGGAGAAACAAGAUCCAUAAUUAAAGUCAUGACGACGAAUUGCAUCAUACUUUAAUAGAAGGUGCAAUUGAAGGAUGAAAACCACCAGGAAAACCAAGAAACUUGUAUAUAUUUCAACUGAAAAAUGAUGCAGGGAUUGAUACUUACGCCGGAUUAAAAAGACUUGCUGAAGAUCGUGAUAAAUGGAGAGCUAAGUUAAAAUCGUUGUAAACCAACCUAAUAUAGGCCUCUAAAUCCCAAGAAAAUUGUUUUAAAUAUUUAAAAUUUAGUUGAAACAUAAAUUAUACACUAUACAAUUACACGUUUGAAAAUCAUUGUAAAAUAAAAACUUCUUAAUAGUUUUAAGUGAGCUCAAAAACGCCAAUUUUCAUCAUUUUUAGAAAGUAAUAAAACUUAGAAUUUCAUAUAAUUUUUUU
This is a long non-coding RNA of Daktulosphaira vitifoliae (grape phylloxera), 640 nucleotides long. RefSeq lists it as uncharacterized. Lineage: Eukaryota; Metazoa; Arthropoda; Insecta; Hemiptera; Phylloxeridae. The transcript is spliced from 3 exons. The record is from RefSeq and is a predicted model, not a curated record.